RNAcentral lists this ribosomal RNA (513 nucleotides) under uncultured bacterium. RNAcentral describes it as "bacterial SSU rRNA". It matches the Rfam family "Bacterial small subunit ribosomal RNA", at positions 10 to 523 of the family's 1533-position model. The record is from RNAcentral.
AGUUUGAUCCUGGCUCAGGAUGAACGCUGGCGGCGUGCCUAACACAUGCAAGUCGAACGAAGCGCCUUAAGAGAUUCUUCGGAUGAUCUUUUGGUGACUGAGUGGCGACGGGUGAGUAACGCGUGAGCAACCUGCCUUUCAGAGGGGGAUAACGUCUUGAAAAGGACGCUAAUACCGCAUGAUAUUAUGGAGCCACAUGGCUCUAUAAUCAAAAGGAGCAAUCCGCUGAAAGAUGGGCUCGCGUCCGAUUAGGUAGUUGGCGGGAUAACAGCCCACCAAGCCGACGAUCGGUAGCCGGACUGAGAGGUUGAACGGCCACAUUGGGACUGAGACACGGCCCAGACUCCUACGGGAGGCAGCAGUGAGGGAUAUUGGUCAAUGGGGGAAACCCUGAACCAGCAACGCCGCGUGAGGGAUGACGGCCUUCGGGUUGUAAACCUCUGUCCUCUGUGAAGAUAAUGACGGUAGCAGAGGAGGAAGCUCCGGCUAACUACGUGCCAGCAGCCGCGGUAA